Molecule: ribosomal RNA, 450 nt
Filed under: uncultured bacterium
Lineage: Bacteria
Description: bacterial SSU rRNA
Rfam family: Bacterial small subunit ribosomal RNA
Source: RNAcentral
GUGGGGAAUAUUGGACAAUGGGCGAAAGCCUGAUCCAGCCAUGCCGCGUGUGUGAAGAAGGUCUUCGGAUUGUAAAGCACUUUAAGUUGGGAGGAAGGGCAGUAAGUUAAUACCUUGCUGUUUUGACGUUACCGACAGAAUAAGCACCGGCUAACUUCGUGCCAGCAGCCGCGGUAAUACGAAGGGUGCAAGCGUUAAUCGGAAUUACUGGGCGUAAAGCGCGCGUAGGUGGUUUUGUAAGUUGGAGGUGAAAUCCCCGGGCUCAACCUGGGAACUGCCUCCAAAACUGCAUGACUAGAGUACGGUAGAGGGUAGUGGAAUUUCCUGUGUAGCGGUGAAAUGCGUAGAUAUAGGAAGGAACACCAGUGGCGAAGGCGACUACCUGGACUGAUACUGACACUGAGGUGCGAAAGCGUGGGGAGCAAACAGGAUUAGAUACCCGAGUAGUCC